GACGGAAGGUGCAAGCGUUGCUCGGAAUCACUGGGCGUAAAGGGUGCGUAGGCGGCUGUGCAAGUCUGGCGUGAAAGCCCCGGGCUCAGCCCGGGAAGUGCGCUCGAAACUGCACGGCUCGAGUGCCGGAGGGGAGAGUGGAAUUCCCGGUGUAGCGGUGAAAUGUGUAGAGAUCGGGAGGAACACCGGUGGCGAAGGCGGGUCUCUGGGCAUCUCCUGACGCUGAGGCGCGAAAGCGUGGGGAGCAAACGGG
Molecule: ribosomal RNA, 253 nt
Filed under: uncultured bacterium
Lineage: Bacteria
Description: partial 16S ribosomal RNA
Rfam family: Bacterial small subunit ribosomal RNA
Source: RNAcentral